Molecule: long non-coding RNA, 905 nt
Filed under: Homo sapiens (human)
Lineage: Eukaryota; Metazoa; Chordata; Mammalia; Primates; Hominidae
Description: non-protein coding lnc-GJA8-2:1
Source: RNAcentral
UGUAGUCCCAGCUACUUGGGAGGCUGAGGCAGGAGAAUGGCGUGAACCCGGGAGGCGGAGCUUGCAGUGAGCCGAGAUCCCGCCACUGCACUCCAGCCUGGGCGACAGAGCGAGACUCCGUCUCAAAAAAAAAAAAAAAAAAAAAAAAAAAAGAAAUUCCAUACUCAUUAGUAGUCAUUCCCCAUUUCCCUCCAAUUCCCACUCCCUCAGCCCUUAGCAACCACUAAUCUAUUUUCUGUCUCUGUAGAUUUCCCUAUUCUGGAUGUUUCAUAUAAAUGGAAUCACAUAAUUUAUAUUGUUUUAUGAUUGGCUUCUCUCAUUUAGCAUAAUGGGGUUGGGGGGGGCUUUUUAAAUGCCAACACUUUGGGAGGCUGAGGCAGGAGGAUCACUUGAGCCCAGGAGUUUGAGACUAUCCUGAGAAACAAAGGGAAACCCCAUUCUUUACCCCUCCCUCCCCGACACACACACAUACACACACACACACACACAAAAUUAAUAGGGCAUGGAAGUACAUGCUUGUGGCCCCAGCUACUCGGGAGGCUGAGGCGGGGGAGGAUCGCUUGAGCCUGGGAAGUUGAAGCUGCAGUGAGCCGUGAUUGUGCCACCACACUCCAGCAGGCAGCAGAGCAAGACUGUCUUAAAAAAAAAAUUCAUAUUUUCUAUGGCUGAAUAAUAUCUAUUUCAUUUUAUAGGUACACCACAUUUUUUAUCCAUUUAUUAGUUGAUGUACAUUAGGAUUGUUUCUACUUUUGGGCCAUUAUCAAUAAUGCUGAUGUGAACAUUUGUGUAUAAUUUUUUUGUUUUUGUUUUGAGACACAGUCUCACUCUGUUGCCCAGGCUGGAGUGCAGUGGGGUGAUCUCAGCUCACUUCGACCUCUGCCUCCUGGGUUCAAGCGAUUCUCCUG